Punica granatum (pomegranate) is the source of this 1850-nucleotide non-coding RNA. The record is from RefSeq and is a predicted model, not a curated record. Lineage: Eukaryota; Viridiplantae; Streptophyta; Magnoliopsida; Myrtales; Lythraceae.
ACGUUUCAGAAUUAUGGGAUAGCUCUACCUUUGAGCAAGGGCCUUGAGAACAAUAAAGGAGGGGUCAGAGCACUGAAAUCGGAAGGGAUAGAAAUAGCAAGUCUCGUGAUUUUGUGAUUCAGCUUGAAUUUCGGGGAUGGGUUGGCCGUUUCUUUGGCUCCUUAUUUUUCUCAAAAGUUUGAAUGAUUGAAAGAUGAAAAGAGCUGCUUUGCUCCUCUGACAACCAUUCCCUAUUAUUAUCCCUGCGGUUGGAAAAACCCCAUGGUUAAAAGUUCUCCAAAUAUUAGAUUAAUCGAAAGAUGUCCUUCUAAUGGAAUUAGAAGCUCUACGAUGCAAUCGAUCGCACCAUACGAUUCAAAUCUUGUGCCCCCGCCGCCUCUCACCCAGACAAAUGGUGCCCGUUCAGAUGCUCGUGACUCUCCGCCCAACCCCACUGGCGCCUUUUCGUUCAUUUCAUAUUUUCAGUCACGCAUGGAGCGCCACACUACUGUUGCUCUGUUUCUGCACGGCUCCAUUUUUUGCUCCCAUCUUUUGCGUACAAACUGCUCGAUCAAAAGCCUAACCCAAUUAUGCCUUCCUCCAUCUUGCCAAUUGAUCGCGUUCCUCAACAACUGCGAGCACGCCCGUUUCUUCAUGAUCUUCCUGUCUUGUGACUUUGGGUGACAGCCAUUUCAUUGAUGGGUUUCUAUUUGAACUUUUGCAAUUUUACAGGGUGCGUUAUGGCAGACUUGUAGUUCGGUGCGUUGCUCUUGGUACACCUGUUAUUUUAGAUUACAUGGGUAGAGAGAUUAGCAGAUGAGAGGACAACAAAGCACCAGAGCUUGAGCAGAAGCUGGCAUUUUAUGAGGUAAAACCAAACUUGAUCAGCCUUCUUUUCUAUCUUUCCUGUCAAACUACCGUUGUGGCUAUAUAAUUCGUCUUUUAGUUUUUUGGUUAUAUAAUUCGUCUUUUAGUUUUUUGGUUAACUGGCUUGUGUCAUCAGGUUGAAAAUUCAUCCUUACCUCAAUAACUACAAGCUCUUGGUCUUUGUAGAAAAAAGAAGUUUCCUGAAUAGAAAAAACAAGCUAUUCAGGCUUAAAAUUUGUGAUGUGCAGCUUAUUUAGCAUUUCAAUAUUGUCAACUUCGCCUUAUGUCUGGUUAUCCUAUAUAGACAUUCUGAGGGAUUGUUAUGAAGAGCUACUUUUAGUGUAUGUGAUCAUCAUACUAUAGUUAUCUAGAUGUUAUAUUUCCUGACUUCAUGCUCCUGAUUGACUUUUUAUUUGCCUUGAGAUAUUUUUGAUCUUGCAUGACAAACAAAUCCACACGAAGGCAAUAAUAGAAUAGGUUAAGAUCUGAGAGCAUAGCAGCAAGAACCUUCACUUCUCCCUCUCUCUCUCUCCCCCUCUUUCUCCAUGUUUAACCAUCAUCUUCUCAUGUUUUCAUUCAACCUUUUUUAAAUCUUUUCUUUAUUACAGUAGACCAAACUGUGCUAUAAAUCAAUCAUUCAGUUUUUCAUGCUCGAAUAGUAAUAACUUCAAUCUCAAAACAUGAAGAUGCCACCCAUUCCCUCUUUGUGUGCCUCCUCUUGCUUCACUGUUGUGUGCUCCCGUUCCCUCUUUGUCGUGUGCACAUUCACCCCACGCUCUUUGAAUGGGGAAAUCCUCUGCAAAAUAGAAAGUUAUUUAUCAAUCUUCACUGCCUUCGUUGCCGGUAUUCUGGAUUAACUGAUCUUAGUUUCAUUUUUUUUUUUGUAAUCUUCCGGUUGAUUUCACCUCUGGAGCUGUAUGUAAUAAUAUUAAAUGAGGCUUGGUUGUUUAUGUAAACAUUAUCAUGUCUGUAUUGGAUAUAAUGAAAAGUUGUGCUUCAAUUCA